GUGGGGUAUAAAAGGGCGUCGGUCAAAGAGAGGAAAUGAAAGAGGGAAAUAAAGGAAAAUAGGAAAACAAAGAGCAUGGGAGAGAGAGAGAGAGAGACGAUUGCGAAAGGGAGUGAUCAGAGGUUAGUGCAGGAGGCGAUUGAUCGAAAGUUCUGAAAGACGUGAGGUCGUGGUAGAUUUAGUGAGAGAGAAGAGUAUAGAAACAAGAGGUAAGAAGAAUUUGGAGUUUCAAAAUUGAUUUGUGGUAAUAUAUAUUGAAUUUAUGUAUUGUAGGUUAACCUAUGGUUACAGAUGUAGGGAAUAUGGAGUAAGAAAGUGUUUUGAGGUGGAAUUAUAUUUGGGAGUAGUAAACGGGGAAGAACGUGAUAUAUUCCUGAGUUAUAGGGGCGAGAAGGGAGUUCUCGCAGGCCGAUCUUUAGGGA
RNAcentral lists this long non-coding RNA (422 nucleotides) under Carica papaya (papaya). Its description in RNAcentral is "long non-coding RNA (CPAP_LNC006289)". Lineage: Eukaryota; Viridiplantae; Streptophyta; Magnoliopsida; Brassicales; Caricaceae. The record is from RNAcentral.